GUCUCAGUAGCUCAGCUGGAUAGAGCGUGCGCCUCCUAAGCGUAAGGUCGGGGGUUCAAAUCCCUUCUGGGACG
This is a transfer RNA of Ruminococcus sp. CAG:579, 74 nucleotides long. It matches the Rfam family "tRNA". Rfam says of the family: Transfer RNA (tRNA) molecules are approximately 80 nucleotides in length. Their secondary structure includes four short double-helical elements and three loops (D, anti-codon, and T loops). The record is from Rfam. NCBI's taxonomy places the organism in Bacteria, Bacillati, Bacillota, Clostridia, Eubacteriales, Oscillospiraceae.